AUCUGUUACCUUCACUGGAGCUGGAGACACAGUGCCUUGGACCGCUGAGGGCGACUGGAGCAUUUCCCUUCUCGGAUGCUUGGAGUGCCCCCCAUCCUGAACUCACCGCGGGCUCGUGCAGAGCAGCAAGUGACCGUGUUUAGCACCACCAGAGAACCUGAUUUUUCAGCCACGUGGCCUGAUGAUGCUCAGCCUUCAGACUCGUCAGACGGAUGCACGAGGGCCCCUGGAAGGAACCCGGAUCACCAAGGAGGCCAAAACACCAACGUGUCACCGUCACCGCAGAGCAGCUGAAAAUGUGACAUGAUUAGAGAUCAGGGCAGCGAUGAGACAGUUUAUCUUCCCCACACAUAUGGCACUGGGUGAGCCACUGGGAAAUAAAAAAAGCUUCAAUAAAUCAUAUUGUCCCUGCCAUGGAAGCAAUAACACCAGCAACCCCAGGUAGAGGGAGAAGUUUGCUCUGACACCCAUUCCUGAGGUGUCCUGGCUGCAAGCCUGGCACUGCAAAGGACUGGGAAGCCUCAUUCCUGUUGAAUUCAUUCCUGUGCUGGAGUUUGAACUGUUCUUUUAUUAUUUUAGGAGCUUUUACCCCGGGGAGCUGUUUGACUCCAUAAUGGGGUUGUUUGCUUGAGGAAGGCUGGUUUGUAAGGGGAGGCAACAUGUGCAGUGCAAGGCUAGCCAAGCUUUUCCUUGCUAAAUCACCAUUUCUCACUGAAAAUACAGAUGCAAGAGACUUUAUCCAAGCCCUAAAUCCAACUGCUUUGGAGGAGCACCAAGCUGGGCUUGACAAGGAGAUGGGAGCAGGGUGGUUUGUAACCUCCACCCCGUCCCACCAGGCACUGCUGGGGGAUGGCACAGCUCUCUCUGCCCCUCCAGCAGAUCCAGCUCUGCAGGACAGACCUCCAGCCAAAAGCUGCAGGUUGGACAAUCCACCUUUUCUUGCAUAAUCAAUUACUGGGGCUGAAGAAAAGAAACUCAUAACGACUUCCCACUCACACAUCCAACCCCCUACAAAUGGCUUCUUGCCCUGGUGGAACAGAAUAUUGUGAGAGCGCCAGAAAUAGGUAGCAAUCAGAUAAUGCUGCAACCCACUCCCAUCUGCCAUCAGAGAAAAAAAUCCUGCCCAAGUGAAAGCAAGGAAGAGCCGGGAGGAAUCGCCGAGUCCCGCACUGUGCCCUGGGCAUCAGCACCUGCUCCGUGUUCCACACUCUGCCCUUGGAAUGGGAUGGGCAGCACUUUUCCCGAGCCAGGAGGAACUGCUGGUUGCAAAUGAAAGCGCUGGAAUGCUGGAAAGACAUCUGGCUGACAGAGCCAUGCGUUUCCUUUAUAAUGUGAUGUUGGCAAUGUUAUAUGAAAACAUUGAUGAAAAAUGAAGCCAGACACUGGGGGAAACGUGUAAAACUUUGUGGUUCAGUCUUGCAUCACUUUGAGCAUGACCGAGUGGGUUCAGUGUGUAAAACAGCAAGGGACCAGUUCUGCUGCUGGAAAAAAAAAUCAGCAAAAAUCAGCAUACAAGUCAGGGCCUCUUUGCAGCAGCUGCACUGGCACAUGUGGGGGCUCUGCCCAUGCACCAGCUCCUCCACUGGGUGAUGGACCAGCCUUGGAGUCCUGCUUGGGGGAGCUGGGACAGCUCCUGAUGCAGACCAACGCCUCUCAGGACCCAAAUGUCCGCAGGUUGCAUCGUGUCCAGAUCCUUAGGGUGGCACAGGUAACCCGCCCAAUUGAGCUGGGUGGGGUUGGGUUGGGCAGAGCAAGGGUGAGGAUACCCCCACCACAUCCCUGAGCUUGCAGGUGCUUAUCUGGGCUUGCUAACGGGAUGUUGGAUAAAUGACUUCAGCUCUGCCAAGAGGAGAGUUUCCAGAGCUGUCUCAGAGGACACCUUGUUUGUGCUGAAAGGUGAGAGCAAUCCCCUGGGGGCUGGGAUUUGGGGUGGCAGGCAGGACUGGAGGGGGAACCAGCCUCUGCUGGGAUAUGUGGCUAAAGGAAGGGAAAAAAUUAAUCACAAGAAUCCUUUUCAUCAGCUUUCUUUGGCUCUUCUGCCUGGCAACUUUUGGCAACAGCUGAUCUAUGGUGGGUCCUUCAGGACUGAGGCAGGACUCAGUUCCACUCAUGCCCCUGCUCUCUGCCCUGAGAGAGACCAUCAUUCCUGGGAAUGUGUUGGGGCUUGGAUUUCUUCAUCCUGAGUCGUUACUGAAAGGACACCCAUGCUUUUAACCUCUGUGGCAGAGUUAUCAAAGGUGAAUUGAGGAAAUGCAGCCCUGGAGGCUUUGGGCUGGGGUCCUGGGCCAGGGGGAGUGCAGCCCCCCUUCCCCUGCUGUGGGUUUUUGGAAGGAUGGGGAUGUGAGUUGCUGAGGAGCCAGUCCUGAGCAGAGACCUUGCAUGUGUACAGAGAAUGCUGAUUCAUCUCACUGCCACUUGAGACAAAAGAACAUCUAAUUAAGUCACCCGCGUAUAAAUAAAUGUACAAGGUCCAACCUCGGGAGCACAGAACAGCACUGGAAAAACUCAGCAAUGCACAAUAUGCUUUGCCUCUCUCUGGCAGGGCUGGAGCUCACAUCUGGGACUACCCCUUUCUUUAGAAAUACCGAAGAAUGGGAUAAUUUUUUUUGUUGUUUUGGCAGUAUUAGUUUUUACAUCAGACUUAGGUGAUUUUCUCUUUCCCUGCAGUUCAGCUGUGUCUCAGGUACACCGAGGCUUUGAUAACCCUCCAAAUCGAACUCAGAGCAGGGUCCACUUUCCAGCUCGAUCAAAGGGUGCAUGGGGUCCAUAUGUCUUUUUGGAAGAGAGUGAAAAACAACAGCAAGACCAAGAAUAACAGUAAGCAAGUAAUUGCUGGUGCUGCUCUAAUUACCAGCACCCGCUGCACUAAUGGCUGAGCUGAUGCUCCUGCAGCUGCAGGACACGGCCCCAGGCUCCACGUUUUAAUUAACCUCAUUAAAGAGGCUUUGCAUUUUGCUCAGGAAGUGGAGAGUUCUGGCUUAGUCCUGCGGUGGGAGUGAGGAGUGGGCUAACAAGAGC
Molecule: long non-coding RNA, 3018 nt
Organism: Pipra filicauda (Wire-tailed manakin)
Lineage: Eukaryota; Metazoa; Chordata; Aves; Passeriformes; Pipridae
Exons: 3
Source: RefSeq, a predicted model, not a curated record